Long non-coding RNA from Apis cerana (Asiatic honeybee), 8391 nucleotides. RefSeq lists it as uncharacterized. Lineage: Eukaryota; Metazoa; Arthropoda; Insecta; Hymenoptera; Apidae. The record is from RefSeq and is a predicted model, not a curated record.
CUCCGUUUCUCACGUUUCUUUCUGCAUCUCCCUACUACUACCGCGUGUCUCGACAUCGAGUUCUUCUCUCUCUCCUCUCUUCCCUGCUCCCGUUCCCUUUUCCUCUCUCUCUCUCUCUCUCCUUAGACCCAGACCCCCAUCCCGGCCUAUUAUGUUACCCUACUGCCUCGGGAUACUAUCUUUAACCCCGAAACCCGUUCAAAUUGCGAGCGGCUUUGCGCGCACGUGUAUGAGCGCGCCACUCUCUGUACGUCGCUCUCUCUCUCUCGGCACCCGGAAAGGGAGGAAGGAUGCAAAUCUCACGGGGAAUAAUAGGAAACGAUAGCUCUGAAAGCGUAUGGAAGAUGGAAACUCGAUUUACAAAUCCUUCGAUUCUUCGCGUACGCAUAUAUAUAUAUAUAUUUAUGGAAACGCGUGGACGAUGGAAUAAGAGAAGCAAAAGAAGAGCUAAGAUCGGUUGGCUGAGAAGGGAUGUCGAAAAGCGUCUCUUUCGUCGCGGGAUCUUAGUCGAAGGACGUCGAGGUAAAAGUCUGCUCUUUGAUCUUUCCACGCAAGAGGCAACGACGCGUCGAAAAAAAUGCCUGUUCCCGCGCGUUCUCGAUUGCAAUAGACACCGUGGGCGGAACGCAUUAUUUCUCCGCCGUUUUCUAUAUUCCUCGAAACGAGUAGUCGGCCGAGUUGAGGGGGAGGAGGGGGAUAAUAUCAGAAAACAGUUUCUGGCCUGUUCCUGACGAAAAGAACGAACAGAUUCAGCCGCUUUUUCUACGCGUCCACCUUGGCUGCCUAUAAAACGCACGUCAAACGUGUGGGCCUCGCGAUCCUCUACCGAUCUCUCCCACCACUGCGAAACCACUCUUUCCCCCUUCCUCGCUCCACCACCCUCUCUAAUCCCGACUCACGAAACGGAAAUACUUGGGAAAAAUAGCACCGAGAACGUUGCGCUGAACGUGUUUUUCAUCGCUGCAUACGUAUAAUAUAUAUAAAAUAGAAAAUAUAUUUUCGAAAAUGUAUACGAACGAGCAUGUAUAUAGAAUGUGACAGGGAAUUUAUCUCGUUGAAAAUACUGAUAGAUUGAUGAUUUUUUUUUUCCUCGACGAUCACAUUAAGAGAAAUCCUUCGAGACGUGAAAUAUGGAAACAGGCGCGUCUCUCUUCUCGUACACACGUCGAGGUGGAUAUAUUUCUUCGAAGAUCGAAGUAUCGCGAGCGUGCAUCGUUUGCAGGAUACGUUUCUUCGCGAGUUCGUCGAUCGUUCGAUGAGAUUCUUAUUACUAGUUUCCUGCUGCACGUAUCGCGGUGGCUGGCUCUUUGUAGCAUCUCUCGGUAUCCGGAAGCUUCGACGGCCAACAACAGGGUGCACCUACGUUCCCUCGCAGCCCAUUAUUCCGCUUGUACCGUGAUCUGGAUACUUCCGAAAGUACCACGAAUAAUAAAGAAAAAAAGGAAGAAAGUCUUACAAUUCGAUUACACGACCCCUCUGAUUGCUGAAUACUUGAAAGAUCGGCGACCGGCGUUGCAUCUAGGCUGCAUUACAAAUGCAAAGAGCGUGCAGUCGCGCGUUUGCAUCUCCAGACUGGUCUAGCGCGAGUACUUAGCUACUUGGUAGUCAUUAACUCCGUCGUCGGCAGACGCCGUACGACGGAACAUCGGGAGAAUAAAAAAAAGCAUCGCAUCGUUUCAUCAUCUUGAAUAAACGUUGAAUCUUGUCCAUCCACUACUCUCCUGCUCAAAAUCGAGGGGUUUCCUUUACCCGAAACAGGUACGAAGAGAGAUUAAAAAUUACGAUCGAGAGGAAUACAAAAUUGCAACUCGAGCUAAUCGACGUCGCGUUUAAACAAUAAUUAUUGAGCGAUUUAUUAUACUUUCGAGACACCCAAUGUGAAGAAGUACACCGAGAGAAAGAGGCGUCUAUAUUCCCGGACCAAUCCAACGCGUGUGCCUGCCUACGUCGCACGCAUUCUUUUCGUUCGCCAGCGGACAGAGGUCAAGACGACGACGGCCGAAUGGGAAGAAUGCGUGACUCCUCUUCCGUCGUCGCGGACACGACGUGUGCGAGGUCAGUGACCAUCGUGCGCGCACUCUCGGUGGGCGCAACUUCUUGCAAGCGAACGAAGAAAGAGAGAAGAGAGCGAGGGAGAGAGAGAGAGAGAACCUCCUCGAAGAGGAGAACCAACGGGAACAGCAGACACACGAGCAGCCACAGGGACGAGAGGGAAAGAGAGGGAGCGAGGAGAGGGAGGGAGAGAAGUUUUGUGGUGCAAAAUACCCACGAGGAUAUUUAAUGGUCGGCUGAUACCGAAUUUAGAGGCGGGAGGAAGGUAAUGCCGCUGUCUUCUCGACCGGCAAAAGUGUCGGUCCGUAUAAAUUCCGACUGGAGACAGGGAGCCGUUGGAGAGCGUUGGCAGCUCCUCCAGCCAAGGGUACUGGAACUUCGACCCUUUGAUUCCGUGCCUCUUAAUUGAGAUCCGAGCGUAACGAGCAAGCCGCGACCGGCUUGAUUUAUUUUCGGCCCGUAUGCAUAUAUUUUCGCGUAGCUAUCGCGUUGGUUCCUCGAGCCUUUCCUCCACGUUCAGCAUCAAGGUUGAAAGAAGGAAUCUCGAGUAGUUUAUUCCGGGAAGAAAUUGUUGAAAGAAUCGAGAGAGAGAGAGAGAGAGAGGUCUAUAAUACGCGAAAAAUAGGCAAGUAUUCUUCGAGAUAUUACGCAAGGAAUUAUCUGAUAACGACAUGGACGUUGACGGCGACAUGCUCGUAAUGUAUGGCGAUCGAGAAAGUAGGGAUAGUGCAUAUUCUUGAAAUACAGAAGGCGUUAUCGCACGAAAGAUAACCCAGACCGUAGAAAAUUGCCAAAACUGUGCUUUUCCUCUCCUCCCCCACUCCCAAGUGUCGAUAAAACGAUCGGGCGAGAUGAUUUGGUUCAGUGGCAUUGACACGGAUCACAUGGAAGGAGUGGUCUUAUCAAUCGGUAUAAUAAUUACAAUAAUAAGAUAACGAUUGCAACGAGAAUGUAAAUAAGUUGAUACUUCGCGCCUCGAUCGAUUCGUUUGUUUGCGUGUUUCGCGAUAUUACAUAAUCUGAUAAAAAAGGGGGAAAAAGAAGAGAGGAGAAAAAAAUUCGUGAAAUUAGAGCGGACACGCAUCCGGCGGAAACGGUGGGAUUUGGACACGCACGAUUUUCGCAGAAUCGAAUCGAUGAUGGAAAAAAAAAAAAAAAAAAAGGCGAAGAUUUACGAGGAACGUAACAGCGUGGAAUGGAAGCAGAGGAGGCUUGUCGGCAUUGAAAGAGGCGACAACGGAUCGCGUUCGAUGCCACGAAGUGACGUAUCUCGGCCAGUUGGAUGGCAAGGCCGGGCUCGUGUAGCUUUCCGUUGUAAUAAUAAAACGGAUGGGCGUUGUGCAGACCAAUGGAGGAAAAGAAAAGAUCUUGUUUAAAGGAGGGGGCGGAAAAAACACUCGUAACGAGGCAAAACUAAAUAAAAGAAACGAUAAGAGGGAGGAGUGGAGGGGAAGGGAUUAAAAAGCAGAUACGAGAAAUAAUAAAAAUAAUAAUAAAAAGAGAGAGAGAGAGAAAAAAGAAAGGAUGAUCGCGUGACGCGAAGUUUCGUGCGCGUAGAACUACCGCGUUCCGUACUUGAUGCCCGUUCACUUUCUCCGAUAGUACUAGAAACAGCCCACCUCCUCUCCCCUUCCCGCAUCUUCCUGUUCCUCCCCACCAGACCAUAUAUAUCCGCGGGUCUAGGCUAGCUCAGUAGGUCUAGGUCUAGGCUGGCUGCAACGUCGCGUGUGCGUGCAGUAUGCACCGACGAUGCAGCUGCGUGCAUUCGCGCCAACGAGCGCCACGAAUGAACGCGACAACCGGAGGAGAGGAGGCCAUCGUCGGUAUAUUCGUCGUACUCGUUUGCUCUUGCCGUGUUCGUGCCCGCGCUCGUCUCUUGCAACACGGUGCGCAUUAUAUUUAGACGCGGACGUGUGUGCGUGAAUUCGCGUCCGAGAGACCCGCCUCGGUUGGACCAGCGCGUCCGUCGCCGUCUCUUUUUCGCUCUCCUCGCCUCUCUCUCUCUCUCUCUCUCCCCCCUCGCUUUCGCUUUCCCUCCGUCACACCCGUCUCUUUCCAUUCCGAGUGUCGUUCUCCUUUCUCUACGCGCUGCUCUUCAUCUCUCUCUCUGUCCGUAUUUCUCUCUCCGUCCGUCUCUCGGCCCCGCUUUGUUUCUCCGCUGACUGGGACGAAGCGACGAGACAACGGGAAGGAGAGCCGGUCCUCGUGGAGCGGAGUGGAGCGGAGCGGAGCACCGGAAAUGAAUCAUUUGAAAUUGUCAAUUUUCGAGCGUGGUUCAUGCACGGUACGCGUGAGGAGCGUACACGUGCCUACGCAUCAUCCAUGAGGUUGGCCCUCUAUGCAGAGAAACUUAGAGAGAGAGAGAAAAGAGGGUGAAGGGUAAGGAGGAGAGGAGAGGAGGUGUUAACGAUCGGGAGGCGGCGAGAUCACAGAGAGAUGUGUAUUACCGAGGAAGUGCUUCAACACCCGCAGAAAAGAUGGUCAAAAGGACGUUACGUCACACGGUACACGGAUGCUGAUCUGCCGAUCCAUCCGUCCCGGAAUCACCCCGAUACUAGCAUCACUAAUGGCACACGAUUUUCUCCAAGAAAGAAACGUGCACGCUCGAAAGGGAAAUCGCGCGCGUUCCAUUUAAAACGCGCGCGAGAAAAUCGUUUGUGGCCGAGCGAGUGAGAGGAAAAAGGAAAACGGAGGAAGAAGAGAUCGAGCCGAUCCUAUCGAUGCGCGUGACGACGGCCAGGAAGCGAAUCUGGGCCGUUGAAUCAGGGAAAAGCAAGUGGGUCAAGAGAACGAAUGGCUCGGCUGAUGUCGGGCGUCGUUGCGACUUCUGCCGACGAGGAUGACGAAGCCCGACGCCAGGUAUCUUCGUGUAAACGGAGAAUGUGUGCACGCACCACCUCCGCCUCUUUUCUAUGCCUUUUCCCUCCUCCUCCUCCUCCUCCUCUUCCUCCCUUCCCUCAAGUUGGGUAGCUUUGGAACCGCUGCAAGGAGCUCGACACUCCUUUCACUUUGCAUCUACCUGCCACGAGGAAGUCGCAGGAAGGUUCUAUCUCUGUCCCUCAUUUCGAUAGACGUAGCAGACACGCUUCCUGCUGGCGUUCACCGGCGAUGUGGUUACGUGGAAAUCGAGCACGAGCUUGGUUUGACCGAUAUUUCUAGAGCGUCGCCGCUUUUAAUUGGACCGCCUCGUUCUCGCCUCGAAUUCGCCGCAAAUCGCGGCUUGCCGUUUCGAAUGGUGCCGGUCGGUUGUGCAGAUCGAAGUGAAACUUGGUGGGUUUCGUGGGUAAGGUAGGGCAGAGAGAGAAGAGGGUUUGAUAACGAAACACACGAAAUUUCGAGAAUUCUUCGAGAAUCGAGAAAAGAAGCGAAAAAAUUGUUGGAAAUAUGAAAUAGCGAGUAGCAUCAGAAAGAUCGAAUCGAAUCCUUUGUCUCGAUACGUAACUUACGAGUCGCGAUUCGUAAACGAGGUAAAACGGAACGAGAUCAUUAAGAAAAGAAGUAUAUUUUCCCGUUAUUUCUUUUAAACGAAUUCAUUUGCACUAGCAAACUUUAUAGAGAAAUAUCAGAAUCCAUUUUAUUUUAUUUUACUUAAAGACGGUGACAACAUAACCUUACUUUUUAUCUUGGGCGGAAUAGGAAGAAAUCACAGGUUGAAAAUGUUUGGAAAACAAUGUUCUAUCUUCGUGACACUCACCAAGUUGUACUUUUAUCAUCUAUUCUUUUUUAGAGAAACUAUUUUUAUUCAUUUUGAUAUAUAUAUAUAUAUAUAAUUGCACUGUCAAACUCUGCAGAAAUAUCAAGGAACGAUCCAUUCUUUUAUUAUUUUAUUUGUUUUAGUUAAAGACGGUAACAACAUAACCUUACUUUUUAAAAAUUUUCUUAUCUUAUCUUACGUGGAAGAAAAGAAAAGAAAAGACAAACACAGUUUAAAAUGUUUGAAAAACACUGCUCUACUUUCGCGACACUCACGAAGUUGCACUUCGACCAUCUACCGACGCCUUUCGGAAAUAUCUCGAAUCGCAAUUCGAUUAUUCGAUAGUUCUCGGAAGCUUCCACGAUUCGAUCGAGAUCUCGUAAUCCGUGUCGCGGUUUCGUUCGAAUCGCCGCUUAUACAGAACACGGGGCUUAUAGGUCGUAGCAAGAACGAUGACAGGCUCGCGCGGGGAUUAAGGGGUAUUUAUCGGGAUUCGUAAUGCGGUCAAAUCGGUAAAGAGCGCUCUGGUUGUUCGGCCAAAGCGUUACGAGCUAUUUUCACGAAACUGCCGGAAAUAUCAACGAACAAUUUAGAUUGGAACGCUUUGCAUUUCGACAUUGAUUUAUUAAAAAGUUUAUUUCCAUAUUAUUCUAUUUCUUUAUUCUAUUGUUAUUAUCGUAUAUAUCGGAUAUUUGAGUGGCAUUAUUAUACGCGUAUUAGUAAUAAUUUUCUUCUCUAACUAGCGGCCAGAAUCGAUUCUUUCGAAUUUAUCGAUUCUCCUGGAUAUCUUUGAGCGAAAUUAUUUAUCGAGCGUAAUUACCUAAGAGGUCGAGACACUUUCUUUCCUCGUCUGGAUUAAUCGAUACCCGACGAGCCGAAAUAAACCCGAGCCGUAUCGUUAUUGCGUCACGACUAUCGAAUCUCUCUUUCUCGAUAUCUUUCGCGAGAUAUAUUGAAAUUACUAAUUUGGUUUUGCCUUCGAUCGAAAAUUCGCCAAAAUUUUUAGUCGAAUUUACAAGACAACGAUAACGAGGUCAAAGAAAUAUUUCGUUACAUUUUUUUUUUAUCUUCAUUUCCACGAAAAAAAGAGAGAAAAAUCUUAAUCGACAAUUUUCAUUUAAAAUAUUGUGAUUAUAUGUACAGUAUUUAUCAUAAAUUUAAAUUGCUAUUACUUUUUAAAAUAUAUUUUUCGUAACAAAGGUAUUUUUCCAUUAAUAUAUUAAUGAUAUUAAUAAAUUAUCAUCAUUAAUAUUAUUAUUAUUAUUAUUAUUUUCCACAAGCAUUGUACGUAUAACACCGGAUUUCCGGAAUGCAACAAUAUCGAUCGACAUAUUUCCAUAAAAUUUCAUUUAAAAUUUCAAUUUCUCUUGAAACGUUAUAAUGUUGCAAACAUUUGCAAUUCCGGAAUUGAAGAACUUUGCCGCGAUGACUCUUGUGCAACAAUCGCAAUGUUUUUUAGAUUUUAAAAAGCGUCACGACGAAUUACAACAAUAUCGCCAAUAAUAUUUCCCGAUUAAAAUUUCGGAAUCGUUACGCAUCGUUGAUCGUUUAUAUAUAUUUUUGAAUUAUUAGAAUGAAACGAACGCGAAUGAAAUAAUUAAUUUUUCCAAAAAUAUCUUUCCAUCAAUUGAAAGGGCCAGUGAAAUUACGUAAUUAUAUUUCUUUCAAGCGGUACGAUUCUCUAUUCUCGAUGAAACUUACACAGUAACGUAAAAUGAGGCACGUAUCCGCUGGGCCUUUCAAUUAUGAAAUAAGAGACAUGGAAGGAAUCUGGUAUCCUUUUGAUACGUCUGACAAUUCCAGCACAAUUGACAAUAUUAUUGAUCCCAUGCGGGCUUCCCUUUCGAGGAAAGAAUUAUUUCGUUUUAACGAAAUAAAAAAAAAAAAAAAGAAAAAAGGGAAAAGAAAAGAAGAAACUUACGUGUAGGAGGCUGACGAUAAUGCAAGUGUUGCAGACUCUGCGUUUGAUGAUGGUGAUGAUGAUGGGGCGGUCCCAUUGUGGGGCCCAUCGUGUGGUUCCCAUGUUGAUGGUGAGGUGAGCUCCCUCUAUGCGGAUGGUACUGGGAGGGAUGAUGCUGAUGAGGAUGAUAGGAGGGCGGCAGGAAGCCCGCCGUCGACGGAUAAACACCAGGACUGUGACAGGCCGACCUGCCGAGCGCUGCUGUGAACAAUCAAUGAGAAAACUGCGUGUUAUAUUAUUUGAUUUGACAAAUAUUACUUCCUCAUUUCCCUCCACUAAUCCUAUUUCAGAUGAAUUUUUCCCUUUACAAGUAUAAUAUAAAUAUACUAUAUCGUAGUAUUAGGAGAUGUAGGAAAGUUUAAGUUUUAUUUCACCACACUGUAUUUUCACUUCAAUUUCAUCUGACUUAAUUUGCUUUUGAUUUAAUAAUUGAGUAACAUUUUUGCACAUCGAUUCUUGCGUUUGCUUUCUUGGUUUCUUAGAAUCGGUCUAAAGUUGAAUAUAAUAUUUUAAUACAGUGAUCCAUUAUAAAAAUCUGAUGCUACAAAAGUGAUGAUGGAAUAAAUCUGUGAUAGUCAUAUGGCUCGAGACAUAUUGAUGUCUUUUUUAUGUCUCAAUCAGGUUUAUUAAUUUGGAAAAUAUUCUAAAUUUAUAUUAAAUUUAUAAAGAUUCGUUUCUAAACCAAA